Molecule: transfer RNA, 73 nt
Filed under: Angiostrongylus costaricensis
Lineage: Eukaryota; Metazoa; Nematoda; Chromadorea; Rhabditida; Metastrongylidae
Rfam family: tRNA
About the family: Transfer RNA (tRNA) molecules are approximately 80 nucleotides in length. Their secondary structure includes four short double-helical elements and three loops (D, anti-codon, and T loops).
Source: Rfam by way of RNAcentral
GCCUCGAUAGCUCAGUUGGGAGAGCGUUAGACUGAAGAUCUAAAGGUCACCAGUUCGAUCCUGGUUCUGGGUA